RNAcentral lists this ribosomal RNA (553 nucleotides) under Papiliotrema laurentii. RNAcentral's name for it is "partial large subunit ribosomal RNA". It matches the Rfam family "Eukaryotic large subunit ribosomal RNA", at positions 121 to 663 of the family's 3401-position model. The record is from RNAcentral. Lineage: Eukaryota; Fungi; Basidiomycota; Tremellomycetes; Tremellales; Rhynchogastremaceae.
UCUGGCGUCCUCAGGGCGUCCGAGUUGUAAUCUAUAGAGGCGUUUUCCGUGCCGGACCGUGUCCAAGUUCCUUGGAACAGGAUAUCAAAGAGGGUGACAAUCCCGUACUUGACACGACGACCGGUGCUCUGUGAUACGUCUUCUACGAGUCGAGUUGUUUGGGAAUGCAGCUCAAAAUGGGUGGUGAGUUCCAUCUAAAGCUAAAUAUUGGCGAGAGACCGAUAGCGAACAAGUACCGUGAGGGAAAGAUGAAAAGCACUUUGGAAAGAGAGUUAAACAGUACGUGAAAUUGUUGAAAGGGAAACGAUUGAAGUCAGUCGUGACCGAGAGGCUCAGCCGGUUCUGCCGGUGUAUUCCCCUCGGUCGGGUCAACAUCAGUUUUGUCCGGUGGAUAAGGACGGUAGGAAGGUGGCACCCUCGGGUGUGUUAUAGCCUGCCGUCGCAUACAUCGGGUGAGACUGAGGAACGCAGCUCGCCUUUAUGGCCGGGGUUCGCCCACGUCCGAGCUUAGGAUGUUGACAUAAUGGCUUUAAACGACCCGUCUUGAAACACG